RNAcentral lists this long non-coding RNA (216 nucleotides) under Lathyrus oleraceus (garden pea). Its description in RNAcentral is "Pisum sativum (pea) long non-coding RNA (PSAT_LNC008883)". The record is from RNAcentral. Lineage: Eukaryota; Viridiplantae; Streptophyta; Magnoliopsida; Fabales; Fabaceae.
AAGAAUCCAGCAUCAAUUCAUGUUAAUUCAUCACAAUAAGUGCAAAUCGAAUCAAAACAUUUGGAUCUACAACAUUAUGCACAUAAAAAAGAGAAGCUUUACAACAUUAUGCACAUUAAAAAUAGAAGCUUUACUUCACCAUUUUUUAUGAAAUUUAGAUCAGAAUGUUCAGUAUGAGAAGCUUUACAACAUUAUGCACAUAAAAAAGAGAAUUAG